Molecule: non-coding RNA, 21 nt
Filed under: Caenorhabditis elegans
Lineage: Eukaryota; Metazoa; Nematoda; Chromadorea; Rhabditida; Rhabditidae
Source: RNAcentral
UUAUUAACUGAAAAUUCAAAU